CUGGGCCUGGACCCAGCAGCCCUCUGGGAAGGCGCUGGGGCACCUCAGCUCCAGGGGCAGCACACACUUCAGCCCAGCCUUUCUGGGCCAACUCUCCAUCUGUAGAGACACAUCCAAGGCCCAGUUAUCCCUGCAGCUGAGCUCCGUGAUGGCCAAGGGCAGGGCCGCACAUUCCCGUGGGAGACAGAAUGGGGACCUCAGCGUGAGCCCAGACACAAACCUCCCUGCAGGGAAGCACAAGACCACCAGGCGGCGCUCCAGACCACACAGCGGCCCCAGAAGCAGGUUUUAGGGGGCGGGGCAGACGUGUCCGCGUUGAGUCAGGUCAUUGGUUUUACUUUCCCUGAGCAAACGGCCUCUGCCAAGGACUCACUGCACCUCUCACCUUCACAGUUGUUUUUUUUUUUUUUUUUUAAUCACCCUGUAGAGUUUUGCUAGCUAAUUUAGAUAUUGA
Non-coding RNA from Homo sapiens (human), 454 nucleotides. Lineage: Eukaryota; Metazoa; Chordata; Mammalia; Primates; Hominidae. The record is from the annotation of a RefSeq genome assembly.